GGUCCUGUAGCUCAGUCGGUUAGAGCGUGAUGCUAAUAACGUCAAGGUCGCGAGUUCGACCCUCGUCGGGACCA
This 74-nucleotide transfer RNA is filed under the name Aspergillus terreus. It matches the Rfam family "tRNA". Rfam says of the family: Transfer RNA (tRNA) molecules are approximately 80 nucleotides in length. The record is from Rfam by way of RNAcentral. RNAcentral also lists the same sequence under 4 other names. Lineage: Eukaryota; Fungi; Ascomycota; Eurotiomycetes; Eurotiales; Aspergillaceae.